This 940-nucleotide long non-coding RNA is filed under the name Monodelphis domestica (gray short-tailed opossum). Its description in RNAcentral is "lncRNA (ENSMODG00000045789.1)". The record is from RNAcentral. Lineage: Eukaryota; Metazoa; Chordata; Mammalia; Didelphimorphia; Didelphidae.
AUGGAUGAUGCCUCUUUGGGUUUUACUCCUGAUUUUCUGGGCUUUUCCCACAAUGCCAGAGCAGCCUUCUCACCCUGGAAAUUUGAUUUGCCUCUGUGGUUCCUUAUUAUAUUUGAUGGUACCUUUAUUUUAAGGAAAGUAUCCAGGCCAACCAUGCCUUCAUCCUUCUAUGAUCUUCAUUCUUUAUUAUUCUCUGGACUUUCUCCCACCAUGUUCUCCAUGCCUCAGCAUAGUUCCUGGAACAUGAUAAAUGUUUAAUAAAUGCUUUUCUGAGGAGAGGAGUGAGACAAGUAUUUCCAGAGACUCUGAAAAACCAUCCUUGAGGCCAACUGGGUUCUAAGCUGGAUGCUAUUCUUGGUUUGUCACAUAUCUCAGGACUGACCCCUUCUACCGACCACAGGGAGUCUCAAGUAUCUUCCUCUCACCCUCCCUAGAACACCAUUGGAUGGCAUGAAAACAAACCAGCACUGGCUGCCAGAGAAGUUAGCUCUUUCCCUUCCCUCCUCAACCCUCAUUACCUCCAUGCCCAAGCAAGGGAUGCUCAGUGUAAGCUGGAUACUGAUCUUCAUAUUCCUCCCUAUCUCUGUGAGAAUAAGACUAAAGCCUCACUCCACUCUGACCCUUGAACCUAUAAUUGGCGGAAGACCCUUAGUCCCCAACAUCCCUGGGUCUUGCCAUCUCUGAACAUGCCUUGUUUUCAUCAGUUAGAAAGAAUUUCUCUUUUGAAAGCAGGAGCUAUCUUGAUUUUCAAGUUAUUUGUCUAGUAUUUAGCUUCUUAUAUAUUAAGUGCUUAAUUUUUUUUUUUUUUAGAGAUAGUUAGGUGGAUAGAGUACUGGGUCUGGAGUCUUCCUGAGUUCAAAUCUGACCUCAGACACUUACUGGUUGGGUGACCCUGGGCAAAUUACUUAAUCCUAUUUGCCUCAGUUUCCUCACCUGAAAA